AGCACUUUUAAGAUCGGUCAUAAAAUAACCGAUCUUAAAAUUACUUUUAAGAUCGUUUAAAUUUUAACCGAUCUUAAAAGUGUU
Molecule: microRNA precursor, 84 nt
Filed under: Cajanus cajan (pigeon pea)
Lineage: Eukaryota; Viridiplantae; Streptophyta; Magnoliopsida; Fabales; Fabaceae
Description: miRNA gene-KK1_042943
Source: RNAcentral